UCCAACAGAUGCAAGAGGUUCAGCAGGCUGCGAGAGCCGUGUGUCAGAGAAAGCAGAAGUCAGAAUGCAGAUUUGAUGCCCACCAUUCCCACCCCCUUAAAUCAGAGGAUUCCAGCAGAUUCAUUUUCUGCCACUGUGAGAAGCAACACGGAGGGGAAACAAGGCUUCCUGAGAUAGAGUACAAUGGCACUUAUGCCAUGACAGCACACUGGGACAGAUGGAGGGAGCUGAUCCUGCCUGACAAGUGAAAGCAACAUGUGCUUUGCUACCUACUCCAGCCCUGAUGGGAAAACCCUUCCCUCCACUUAUGAUUACCUUAAUGCCAAAGAGUGGAGUAGUUCUGGUCCCACACACAUCUCCUGGAUCAACACCAGGUGCCGGGGGCUGACAUAAGCUCCCUUCAGCUGAGCUAUGUUGGUGUGAUGAAGCUUCCUGAGGACCUGGUACUCCAGCAGCACGCUCUGCUUGUCCUCUUGCCAGUAAGGGAUAAUUUUAGCAGCUAAAGUCUUGCCGCUUACUUUUUCCCUGCACUGUCGGACGAUGCUGAACCGCCCCCUGGUACAAAGGAACACAAAGGCAAGUUAAGCUUCUCUGCUACUCCUGGAAGAGCCAGGAGCUUCUGUAUUUCAAGAUCAUAUGGAUCCCAUGCUGUGUUUUUCAUCCCUCCCCUAUGUUGAGUUACUGCAGCAACUGUCACACUUUGCACGUCCUCCCGUGUCUCUAAACUGUGCAGUCACUUCAAACUGCAGCACGUGCAGCACUUCCUGCUGGCUGGUUGAGUGCUCAGCUGGAUUCCCUACCUUUUGAUCUCUGUUUGGAAGGCGUAGGUCUGGUAGGUUGGGAAAGGUUCGGGUGGUGCAAUUAUUUCACUCUCUUCCUCAGCUGUUGGGAAAUUCUGCAUUGCAGCAGGGAAUUCUGCAGAGAAGAAGUGGCAAUGAUUACAUGGGAAAACAACUGUGUGGAAACCAGAGCUUCUCUGAGCUGCUAUGGACUAUGCACUACCUAUGGACAAAUAAAGGUGACGGUGGGGCUUUCUGCAUGGAAGUCUGCAUGUUGGCUCCUGUUUGCAGCACAAAGUUCGAUGUGAAUGCAGCAGAUUCUGGAAUGGACAGCCAGCAAUUCCCUGGUGGAACCCCUCCUGAUUGGUGUAGGUUGCAUGUGGUGACAGGUUUACAGUUGGACUUAAUGAUCUCAGAGUCAUUAAGGCUGGGAAAGACCUCUGUGAUUCUCCACCUCGUCUCAACUAAGAGAGGCCAGAAUUCAUGAGAUCUCAUUGGGAACAGAAUCCUUCCCUUCCAGAAGAGAGCUUUGGUGCUUAACGGCUCAUUCACACUCACACAUGCAGCCUCCUCGGAGACACAGACAAGGAUACAACUCCAAGAUCAAAAUCAGGGUUUUCCGCGUUUCAAACUGAUCCAGCAGCCUGGUGAUCCUGUCGUGGGACAGAGAGGACAGAAUGUCCCUCUCCUGAUGCGCCCGAGCCUUCGUUUUGCUUCGCAGAGGGAUGAAUUUGGCAGCACAAGACACUCCGUUCCCUUUGUGUACAACUCGUUUCACAAAGCUGAAGCAGCCCCUGGGCAGAAUCAGAGGACAAACCCGGCUCAGCCCCACUUCAAAGCUCUUGCUCAGCAGGUGAGGACCUUUCCCUGCCCCAGCCUUGACGGCUCCUGCUGCUCAGGGCUUACAUUCUCCAACACAGCUCUGAUUUCCCUGUGUGUGAGCUGCUAUUGCCCUCUCCUGGCUGUCUCUAAAACUAAGCAGCGAGUUCCCGUUGAAGGAAAAACCUCUUCCAGAUGUGUGCUGACAAAGGCUGAUGCUCUCAGAUCCCUUGGAUGAACGCGGCGCUGGUGCCUACACUGCUGUGGUCUUUUGAGCUUAGUAUUGCCCAAGAGCCAUACAUGGGCACCUACUCAUGGAAUCAUUAAGGUUGGAAAGACCACUAGGGCCAUCCAGUCCAACCAUCAGCCCAUGUCUGUGAUCACCACAGGCCGUGUCACUCAGUGCGACCUCAAAACCCCCAAGCACUUUAUCAAUUGGAGUGACCUGUGGGCUCCAUGCACUCUCCCAGCCUAUCAGAAACUUCAGAACAGAGUUCCCAGCACCCCUGUAUCAAGGCAAUCUCCCACUUGGAUUUAUUCACGGUUCUGCCUCUUGUUCCUGCUGCUGGCAGCUCGGGUGGGCAACUGGAUGUUGGAAAAUGUUGGAUGCUGGAAAACCCAUUUACCUUCCAAUCUCCUGCUUAACCUCAUACAGGGAAUGGAGUUUUCUCCGGGUGGCCACUUUCUUUGCUGCUUGGUCUUUCUUAGCUUUGGAAAGGAAGAAAAAUAUGAAGGUUAAUAUUCAGAUCGCCAAUGGUGUGCAAAGUUAUUUCAGGACAGCGAAAGGCAGGAAAAUGUGCAGGGCUCCUCUAAGCUUCUGCAGAGUUUGGUAUAGCUGUUGGAUUACACAACUUGCCAACGUGAACACUGCAGCAUGGCCGUGCUUAUUUCUGCUGCCCAUGGUGUCACUUCAUCACAUAGUCUCAAGCAGAGAUAAAAGAAACAAAGAAGCCCAACUCAUUUGCUCUUUGCAGGUCAUUAGAAGAUUUCCCUUUAUACAGGAUAAUGCCAUACUGCUAUCAUGCAGAUGCUAAGCUGGAACACGUGGCAGACACCAAAGGAAGAUGAAUACACACUGCAGAGGUUAUUGAAGCAGCUCACGCAGCUCAAAGAACGGUGUUACCUUCAUGUACAACAAGCUCUGCUUUGCACAAAACCUCCCCUCCUGCAUUUUUGGCAACACAGGUAUAAACACCACCAUCUUCUGAGACAACGUUGUCCAGGAUUAAGAAAUAAGUCGUUCCUGCCUUCCCUUGAUGGAGCCUAACGCUGUCUGUCAGCAGUGUGGUGCCCUGAAAGAAUGGAACCACUUUUUGUUAUUGGAGAACCAAGAUGGAAACAGAUGUUUCUUCUCUUCAAGAAAUGAGAAAGAAGAGCAGAGUUACAAUACAUACUUUUCCAUCUACCGAAGUCACUAACAAAAUGCUUGCUGAAGAAGAACCCAUGGCUAAAUGUUUUUCUGCUUAUACAACAUUUCUAUUUCAGAGCCUAUACAUUAGAAUGAGGGCUGGGGAGGGAUCCAGCUCUGGAUGUGGUUCAUUCUUUGGCUUUUCCAGCACGCCAAGCCUGCCUGACUGGGCAGGAAGAUAUCAGAUGAAAUCUAAUACAGAUUGAUUUAGGAGUGAUGCAAUAUUUGAGGGGGAAAGCAGUAUUCUGGGAAACGACAAAUGAUUUCUCAUACUUUUUAUUGCAUUAUUUACUGUCCUUGCACUGUUUACCAAGUAACUAUGAAAAAGAUACAGAGCCUGAAAGUCAUGUUGACAAUUGGAGUAAACAUUCUUAAUCCCAUUCCUGACCCUAAAAACGACAGCAUACACCUCGGUGGCUCUCAGACCGACACCAACCUCCCUUCCUGCCUAUUUAUGUACCCAAAAUGAUCUUAUGGAAGGAGCCCCAGUGACACUGGAACAUCACAAAGCAAAAUUCAAGUGUGGUGGAUCCAGGGAGAACUGCAGUUAAUUAAAAACAAAAACAAAAACAAACACAUCUACAGAUAAGAUUCAGUGUAGCAGGUGUAGAAUGACACAGCAAAAAGGCUUUCCCCAUAGAAGCGUUGUUUUGCAGCCCUUUCUGUGCUCCUCAUCCUCAGCCAGGAACACAUUUGCCCUUACCUUAAACCACAGAACAGUAGGUGGAGGGGUCCCUUCGAUGACUGCCUGAAAUUUGGCACGCUCCCCAGCAUCCACCUGCACAUCCUCUAUUGUCACUUGCAUAUAGGGAGGACCUGGUGAGACACAAUGCUUUGCUGGACCAUGACUUUGCUCAUGCUGUGCUGAUGUAGGUUCAGUGACUCUAAUGGGAUUUCCAGACCCAGGGUGUGACACUGGCUUAAUUUCAAAUCGAGAGAUAUCAGUGAAAUAUUUGAGUUUCUUUAUGGUGGCAUUACUUUUAGGCUCCUGCAUGCUUGUUACUUUUUGUUUAGUAAACAGUUACUGGUGAAGGAGAUGAAUUAUCUCAAACAAAGCCACAGGGAAGACAGUGAUAAUCACAGGACCUGAGAAACAGAGACAAGGCUCCUCCUUACUUGUUGGGGUCUUCUCCUCAGUCUUAUACACACGGGUUCGUUCUGUGGUCUCAAUAUAAACUUCACUGUGUACGUCCCAGAACACAUCCCCUUCUCUCCUGUACCAGUCUCCUGUCCCCGCAGCCGGUCGUAUUCUUUCACGAAGCCCAAGAGAAAAAGACCCAGUCACACAACUGCAGAGCUAUAGGAUUACAUUGAACUAUGAGUUUAACCACCAGAUUAACCAACAUCUACUUGAAAUUAAUACAAAAAGAAUUUUGAUCCGGUGGAGUUCAUUUCUCUCCAAUAUUUUGCAUCCUUCUUGUGCAGUGCAGAAGACAAGAAUGAGUUCAAGUCUCCACUAGCUUCCCUACAGAGGAGAAUCUGUGUAUUACAGUGUAUGUUUACCUGGAAAUGGGAACAGUGCGCUCCUGAGUGCUUUCAGCUCCUUUAGAUGUCUCCUCAUGGGAAAGACCAAGGCUGGGCAUUGGUACGCUUGGUUCUUCAGUUGGAAUCUGCCCUUGUGCUUUGUCUGAUAGCAGAAAUAGGGAAAGUUAGGCACAUCAGCUGUGAGGGCACAUCUGAAAACCAGAGCAAACCUGUGAAGCCAUCUCUAGUCUGCCUGGUGUCGGCACAGAAUUUUUCUAGCCUCAGCUGAGUGCAAUCAUUGAAGCUAAGGGGAGAAUUCAGCCCUUUUGAGACAACCAUAUAAAGCAAAGGCCUUGAACAACAGCAGGGAGGCUGAAUGGACACAAAGCUGACUGGCAGCACAAGUUUUUCUACAGGGAAACACAUGCAGACACAGACCUACCCUGCCCCCCAGCAGCCUGGGUUUGGGUGCUGACUUCGUGGAGCAGCAGAGGCCCAACUGCUCCAUGGUCACCUCCUGGUGUGUCGGGGGGAAGAGUCACAAGCAGUGAUGCUGAGUCCACGAGCUUCUUCAGAGCUGUCUUGAUCUCCUUAUCAGCACGCCGAAGGGAGGCCUGGACGGAGGUCUCCAGCUCUGACUGUGGAGAUGGUUUUCCUACAGACAAGAAGAACUGCAUUUCUCUCUUUGGUGCAAAAAGAAAACAGUGGCAGCAUGCAACCCAUUGCAGUCAGAUGGAACAUCUGUCUUCGCGUCCCUCCCCUUCUCCUAGAGCUCACAACAAGGAGACAGGCACACAGACUUUGACAGACACAUCCCACCAGGACAAGGACACUCCCAGACUGUGGAAAGAGGGAUUUGUUUCCUGGCUCAACCCUACGUUGUCUGGUUGGGCAGAUAUACUUCCACUGGGGUCAGUGAAACAAAGCCAGUGGUGAUGCACUGCACUCACAGAGAGGCUGGGUGCAAGGAGGAGGUUAUUAUCUCUGGGAAGGGGGAGUGAGCGCUUACCAGACUCACCACUGCCCCUUGAAGAAGGGUUGCUGCUUCCUGAGCCUGCAAGGAAGGAUGGCACAGAAGGCCCUGAAGCUCCUUGAAGCUUGCAGGAGAACGUUUUUGUCCUACUUUGUGGUAUGCAGGUUUGCAUGACACCUUUUAAAUUUGCACCUGAUGGUGCUUUUGCAAGCCAGCUCUAAAGGCAAGGUCACUUGUGUAUACAGUACUGCAAAAUGACAGUGACAGAGAAGCGUUGUAGAGGAAGAUGUAAUUUCUGCCUCAAGAAAUGACAGCUUUGAAGGAAGAGAGAUGACAAAGCUUUCCAGACAAAAAUAGAUUCUCGAGCACAUCGCUGCAGGACAGACACCCAGGAGACAAACAGCACAGACAUCCCCAGUCAGCAGAACAGAGCAUAGGCCAAGGUGGGGAUAUUGGGUGAAUCAGAUGGGGAAGGACCUCAGGAGCUGAUCUGAUCCAACCUCCUGCCCAGCACUCCUUAAACAAAUCUUGAUGAGGCACAACAAAGGGGCAGGAGAUAUCUAAGGAUGCUAAAACACUCAUCAAAGACAGACAAAACCCAUAUCAGAUUACAGCUAUUCAUCAUAGUCACAAAGAGUACAAACUUGAAUAAACAUGCAGUCCGUGAUAAAAAGCUCUGCUUUAGACACCCCUUCUGGUUGCCCAAGCCUUUAUUAUUUUAAACAUACUUCCCAUGUGUAUGAAAAUGUGUU
This is a long non-coding RNA of Lagopus leucura (white-tailed ptarmigan), 6195 nucleotides long. RefSeq lists it as uncharacterized. The transcript is spliced from 4 exons. NCBI's taxonomy places the organism in Eukaryota, Metazoa, Chordata, Aves, Galliformes, Phasianidae. The record is from RefSeq and is a predicted model, not a curated record.